GUAGGGAAUAUUGGGCAAUGGAGGCAACUCUGACCCAGCCAUGCCGCGUGCAGGAUGACGGCCCUCUGGGUUGUAAACUGCUUUUAUACGGGAAGAAAAAAUACUACGUGUAGUAUACUGACGGUACCGUAAGAAUAAGGAUCGGCUAACUCCGUGCCAGCAGCAGCGGUAAUACGGAGGAUCCAAGCGUUGUCCGGAUUUAUUGGGUUUAAAGGGUGCGUAGGCGGAUCUUUAAGUCAGUGGUGAAAGCCUGCAGCUUAACUGUAGAAUUGCCAUUGAAACUGAAGAUCUUGAAUGUGGUUAAAGUAGGCGGAAUGUAUCAUGUAGCGGUGAAAUGCUUAGAUAUGAUACAGAACACCGAUAGCGAAGGCAGCUUGCUGAACCAUUAUUGACGCUGAGGCACGAAAGCGUGGGGAGCGAACAGGAUUAGAUACCCCAGUAGUCC
Molecule: ribosomal RNA, 445 nt
Filed under: uncultured bacterium
Lineage: Bacteria
Description: partial 16S ribosomal RNA
Rfam family: Bacterial small subunit ribosomal RNA
Source: RNAcentral